GAUGAAGAACGUAGCGAAAUGCGAUACUUGGUGUGAAUUGCAGAAUCCCGUGAACCAUCGAGUCUUUGAACGCAAGUUGCGCCCGAAGCCGUCAGGCCGAGGGCACGCCUGCCUGGGCGUCACACGCCGUUGCCCCCCCGCGCCCCGCACCCAACGCUUUGGGAGCGACCGCGGGGCGGGCUGAUGAUGGCCUCCCGUGCGCUCCGCCGCGCGGUUGGCCCAAAUACCGAGUCCCCGGCGACGUGCGCAACGACGAUCGGUGGUUGAGAGACCUCUGUCGCAAGUCGUGCGCGCCCGUCGCGUCACGCGGGCUCGCAUAGCGCCUCGCGCCGCACCCGGUGCGGAGCUUUCAACGCGACCCCAGGUCAGGCGGGGUUACCCGCUGAAUUUAAGCAUAUCAAUAAGCGGAGGA
Molecule: unclassified non-coding RNA, 412 nt
Filed under: soil metagenome
Description: partial contains 5.8S ribosomal RNA, internal transcribed spacer 2, and large subunit ribosomal RNA
Rfam family: 5.8S ribosomal RNA (bases 1-122)
Source: RNAcentral